This 255-nucleotide ribosomal RNA is filed under the name uncultured bacterium. Its description in RNAcentral is "partial 16S ribosomal RNA". It matches the Rfam family "Bacterial small subunit ribosomal RNA", at positions 524 to 776 of the family's 1533-position model. The record is from RNAcentral.
UACGUAGGGGGCUAGCGUUGUCCGGAAUCAUUGGGCGUAAAGAGCGUGUAGGCGGUCCGGUAAGUCCGUUGUGAAAGUCAGGGGCUCAACCCUUGAAUGCCGGCGGAUACUGUCGGGCUAGAGUCCGGAAGAGGCAAGUGGAAUUCCCGGUGUAGCGGUGAAAUGCGCAGAUAUCGGGAGGAACACCUAUGGCGAAGGCAGCUUGCUGGGACGGUACUGACGCUGAGACGCGAAAAGCGUGGGGGAGCAAACAGG